AGUCAGAGCAAUAUGAGAAGACUCCAAAGCAUUACGCAUUAAACCUAAAUUUGGAGUAAUUUCAGAAGCUGAAGAAAGAUCCAUUGACUCUUUGGAGACAUAAAAGAGUCAAGGAUGGUAAAUAGAAUUGAGUGAGAGGCCAACAUUAAACGCUUUAAUUUUCAUUUAAGAGGCACAUUUACUUUUAAAUGAGAAUGUCAAACGUGAUUAUGGAUGAUAAUAAGGGUUUAGGAACAUUUAAUGUGUGACAAAGGGAAUGAGAAGGUCAAACACGAUUAUGGAUGAUAAUAGGGGUUUAGGAGCAUUUAGUGCGUAGCAAAGGAAAUUAGAAAGUCAAAUGUGAGCAUAAAGAGUCAAGGCGGGAAAAUGGAAUUGAGUGGGAGGCCAGCAUUAAACGCUUUAAUAUUAAUUUAAGAGGUACAUUUAUUUUUAAAUGAGAAGGUCGAAUAUGAUUUUGGAUGAUGAUAGGGGUUUAAGAGCACUUAAUGUGUGGCAAAGGGAAUGAGAAGGUCAAACACGAUUAUGAAUGAUGGUAGGGGUUUAAGAGCAUUUAGUGUGUGGCAAAGAGAAUGAGAAAGUCAAAUGUCAGCAUUUAAUGUGUGGCAAAGGGAGGGGAAAAUUUAGGGGCAAAAUUAGGGUUGAGGUUAGCCAGAGGGGUUACACUUUAAUAACUAGACUCUUGUCCCGUGCGAUAGCACGGGUCAUACCGAGAAGAAGUUAAACGAAUGAGUCGCAACAAUGUAAACAUAUAUAGUUAAUAGAAGUUUUAACAAAAGUUAAGAACACGUUCCCUCUUCUACGACAACAAAAUGAAAUGGUAGCAUACAUAAAAAAAGUCUUGAUUACAUUUUUGGCCCAGUUUUUCAAAAUUGUGAUUUUGGCCCCCUAAAAAACUCUUUUCAGACCCCCUAAGUUUACUUUCUGUUGAAUUUUGAUACAGUCAACGGACACGUGUGUAAUUUUAUUUAAAUAUUUUUUAAUUUAAAAAAAUAAUUUUGUAAUUAAAAAAAUUGUUUUUUUAAUUAUAAAAAAUAAUUUUCUUUGUUUUUGUUUUACAAAUAAAAAAUUAAUUACAAAAAUUAAAACAAAAAAUAUUUUUAUUUUUAAUUACAAAAUAAAAUAAUAUAUUAAAAAUACAAAAAUAAUUAAAACAUUACACAUGUGGCGUCCACGUUAGCGUUGACUGGGUCAAAAUUGGGCUAGGGGGCCAAAAUUGCAGCAGAAAGUAAACUUAGGGGGCCUGAAAAGAGUUGUUUUUUUGGGUCAAAAUCACAACUUUGGGAAACUUAGGGGGCAAAAAGUGUAUUAAGCCUAAAAAAAGGUUUGAACUUUAAUCAUCAAGAUACAUGAGGUCGUAUCAGUAUUCUCUCCAUCUCCAUAAACGAUUAGUGUUUUCAAUCCUUGUUUUGAAGUGACUCUUGAGAUUGCAACGUACAACUGACCAUGCGAGAACACAGGACCCGACAAAUAAAUUCCAACACUUUUAAGUGAUUGCUCUUGACUCCUGUUGAUUGUCAUGGCAAAUGAAACAUAUAUUGAAAAUUGUCUUCUUUAAAAUUUGAAAGGAAUUUUAACAUCGGAUGGUGAAACACCUGGGUAUGAAAACUUUUUCGCCAAUGUUACUUCCAGAUAUAACAUUUCCUUCAAGUACAAAUUUCCUCAUUCUGGUUAUGAUUAACCUUUCCUUCAAACGAAGAAACAUUUUAAAACCAUUAUUUUGGCUCCAUGAAGGAUUAUGGUACAAUAUAAAUUACUGGUAAACAAUCAUCCGAAAAUUGCAUUUAAACUUAAUAGUCAAACGAAGAAACAUUUUAAAACCAUAAAUUGCAUUAAAAUUAAAAGAUAUUACAUUAAGCUGGAAAGAUAAUACUAUAAAUUGCAUUAAAUCGUAAGAUUCUGAUAGGUUUAUUAAUUUAUCUAGGAACAUGAAAGGUUGUGAGAUCUACGAUUGAGAUGUAGGGAGUAGUUGACAUGGAGAGAAAAUGAGGAUGAAUUAGGGCUAACAUGUCAGCUUGGCAAGUGUAGCUUUUAUAAUAAAAGAUAAGAGAUUGAAGGAACAAAAUCUUUGUUUCUAAAUUUAAGAGAUAGAGAGCAGUGGGAGAAGACUGCAAAGCAUUAUGCAUUAAACCCAAAUUUGGAUUAAUUUCAUAAGCCGGAGAAAGAUUCAUCGACUCUUUGGAGACAUAAAGAGUCAAGGUGGGAAAAUGGAUUUGAGUGGGAGACCAACAUUAAACACUUUAAUGUUGAUUUAAGAGGCACAUUUUCUUUUAAAUUAGAAGGCAAAUGUGAUUAUGGAUGAUGAUCGAGGUUUAAGAGCAUUUAAUGUGUGACAAAGGGAAUGAGAAUGUCAAACGUGAUUAUGGACGAUGAUCGGGAUUUAGGAGCAUUUAGUGCGUGACAAAGGGAAUGUGAAAGUCAAAUGUGAACAUUUAAUGCGUGUCAAAAGGAGGAAAAAAAUUAGGUUAAAAUUAGGGUUGGUGUUAGCUAGUGGGGUUAAGCUUUAAUAAUAAGAGAUUCAAGGAAUACAAUUUUUAUUUCUAAAUUUAAGAGUCAGAGAGUAGGAGAAAACUUCAAAGCAUUAUGCAUUAAACCCAAAUUUGGAGUAGUUUCAAAGCUGGAGAAAGAUCCAUUGGCGUUUUGGAGACAUAAAGAGUCAAGGUGGGAAAAUGGAAUUGAGUGGGAGAGCAACAUUAAACGCUUUAAGGUUGAUUUAAGAGACAUAUUUGCUUUUAAAUGAGAAGAUCAAACGUGAUUAUAGAUGAUGAUAGGUGUUUAAGAGCAUUUAAUGUGUGGCAAAGGAAAUGAGAAUGUCAAACACGAUUAUGGAUGAUUAUAGAGGUUUAGGAGCAUUUAGUGCGU
This 2859-nucleotide long non-coding RNA is filed under the name Medicago truncatula (barrel medic). RNAcentral describes it as "long non-coding RNA (MTRU_LNC004403)". The record is from RNAcentral. Lineage: Eukaryota; Viridiplantae; Streptophyta; Magnoliopsida; Fabales; Fabaceae.